RNAcentral lists this ribosomal RNA (887 nucleotides) under uncultured organism. RNAcentral describes it as "bacterial SSU rRNA". It matches the Rfam family "Bacterial small subunit ribosomal RNA", at positions 1 to 881 of the family's 1533-position model. The record is from RNAcentral.
UGGAUCCAGACUUUGAUUCUGGCUCAGGAUGAACGCUAGCUACAGGCUUAACACAUGCAAGUCGAGGGGCAUCAGGAAGAAAGCUUGCUUUCUUUGCUGGCGACCGGCGCACGGGUGAGUAACACGUAUCCAACCUGCCCUUUACUCGGGGAUAGCCUUUCGAAAGAAAGAUUAAUACCCGAUAGCAUAAUGAUUCCGCAUGGUUUCAUUAUUAAAGGAUUCCGGUAAGGGAUGGGGAUGCGUUCCAUUAGGUUGUUGGUGAGGUAACGGCUCACCAAGCCUUCGAUGGAUAGGGGUUCUGAGAGGAAGGUCCCCCACAUUGGAACUGAGACACGGUCCAAACUCCUACGGGAGGCAGCAGUGAGGAAUAUUGGUCAAUGGGCGUUAGCCUGAACCAGCCAAGUAGCGUGAAGGAUGAAGGCUCUAUGGGUCGUAAACUUCUUUUAUAUAAGAAUAAAGUGCAGUAUGUAUACUGUUUUGUAUGUAUUAUAUGAAUAAGGAUCGGCUAACUCCGUGCCAGCAGCCGCGGUAAUACGGAGGAUCCGAGCGUUAUCCGGAUUUAUUGGGUUUAAAGGGAGCGUAGGUGGACUGGUAAGUCAGUUGUGAAAGUUUGCGGCUCAACCGUAAAAUUGCAGUUGAUACUGUCAGUCUUGAGUACAGUAGAGGUGGGCGGAAUUCGUGGUGUAGCGGUGAAAUGCUUAGAUAUCACGAAGAACUCCGAUUGCGAAGGCAGCUCACUGGACUGCAACUGACACUGAUGCUCGAAAGUGUGGGUAUCGAACAGGAUUAGAUACCCUGGUAGUCCACACAGUAAACGAUGAAUACUCGCUGUUUGCGAUAUACAGUAAGCGGCCAAGCGAAAGCAUUAAGUAUUCCACCUGGGGAGU